This is a microRNA precursor of 79 nucleotides. It matches the Rfam family "mir-1 microRNA precursor family". Rfam says of the family: This family represents the microRNA (miRNA) mir-1 family. miRNAs are transcribed as ~70nt precursors (modelled here) and subsequently processed by the Dicer enzyme to give a ~22nt product. In this case the mature sequence comes from the 3' arm of the precursor. The extents of the hairpin precursors are not generally known and are estimated based on hairpin prediction.
UCCAACCCUACAUACUUCUUCAUAUGCCCAUAUGGAGCCGGCCGGUGCUAUGGAACGUUAAGAAGUAUGUAUUUUUCGG